GACGAACCGUGCGAACGUUGUUCGGAAUCACUGGGCAUAAAGGGCGCGUAGGCGGCUUAUCAAGUCAGGGGUGAAAUCCGGCAGCUCAACUGUCGAAGUGCCUUUGAUACUGACGAGCUCGAGGGAGAUAGGGGUGUGUGGAACUUCCGGUGGAGCGGUGAAAUGCGUUUAUAUCGGAAGGAACGCCGGUGGCGAAAGCGACACACUGGAUCUCUUCUGACGCUGAGGCGCGAAAGCCAGGGGAGCAAACGGG
RNAcentral lists this ribosomal RNA (253 nucleotides) under uncultured bacterium. RNAcentral describes it as "partial 16S ribosomal RNA". It matches the Rfam family "Bacterial small subunit ribosomal RNA", at positions 524 to 776 of the family's 1533-position model. The record is from RNAcentral.